Molecule: long non-coding RNA, 745 nt
Organism: Gracilinanus agilis (Agile Gracile Mouse Opossum)
Lineage: Eukaryota; Metazoa; Chordata; Mammalia; Didelphimorphia; Didelphidae
Exons: 5
Source: RefSeq, a predicted model, not a curated record
UAGAAUCCAAGUCAGACACAAUGGAACAUAAGGAACUACAAGAAGAAACGAGAAUUCACCAUUUCAUUUCAUCAGAUAAGAAAGUUAAAUCAAAGUAGAUGGCAGUGAGGUGGCACAGUGACAGAGUGCCAAUCUCUCCACUACCUAUGCCAAGAAAACUCUGGAUGAAAUCAGAGUCAGAUCCAAUGCAAACGAAGGGACAAUGAGAAGAAACCAGAAUUCAUCAUUUCAUUUCAAAAGAUAAAAAAGUAAAAUCAAAAUAGAUUGGCUGUGAAGUGGCACAGUGCACAGAGUGCCAGUCACUCCAAUAUCUAUGCCAAGAAAACUCUAGGUGGAAUCACAAAGAGUCAGAAACAAUGGAAACGAAGGGACAAGAAGAAGAAGCCAGAAUUCUUUCAUUUCAUUAGAUAAGAAAAUAAAAUCAAAAUAGAUGGGCAGUGAGUUGGCACAGUUGGCCGAGUGUCAAUCACUCCAGUAUCUAUGUGAAGAAAAUUCUAGAUGGAAUCACAGUCAGACACAAAGGAAACAAAGGGACAACAAGAAGAAACAAGAAUUCAUCAUUUUAUUUUAUCAGAAAAGAAAGUAACAUAAAAAAUGAUGGGUAUCAAGGUGGCACAGUUGGUAUUGUACCAAUAACUCCAGUAUCUAUGUCAAGGAAAGUCUACAUUGAAUCAUGAAGUCAGGCAAAAUGGAAGCAAAGGAACAACAAAAAGAAACCAGAAUUCAUCAUUUCAUUUUAUCAGAU